This 253-nucleotide ribosomal RNA is filed under the name uncultured bacterium. RNAcentral's name for it is "partial 16S ribosomal RNA". It matches the Rfam family "Bacterial small subunit ribosomal RNA", at positions 524 to 776 of the family's 1533-position model. The record is from RNAcentral.
UACGUAGGGUGCAAGCGUUAAUCGGAAUUACUGGGCGUAAAGCGUGCGCAGGCGGUUGUGCAAGACAGAGGUGAAAUCCCCGAGCUUAACUUGGGAACUGCCUUUGUGACUGCAUAGCUAGAGUGUGUCAGAGGGGGGUAGAAUUCCACGUGUAGCAGUGAAAUGCGUAGAGAUGUGGAGGAAUACCGAUGGCGAAGGCAGCCCCCUGGGAUAACACUGACGCUCAUGCACGAAAGCGUGGGGAGCAAACAGG